This 604-nucleotide ribosomal RNA is filed under the name bacterium 4873K2-B26. Its description in RNAcentral is "bacterial SSU rRNA". It matches the Rfam family "Bacterial small subunit ribosomal RNA", at positions 61 to 654 of the family's 1533-position model. The record is from RNAcentral.
GUCGAGCGGAAACGAGAAGUAGCUUGCUACUUCGGCGUCGAGCGGCGGACGGGUGAGUAAUGCCUAGGAAGUUGCCCAGUAGAGGGGGAUAACCAUUGGAAACGAUGGCUAAUACCGCAUAUUCUCUUUGGAGCAAAGCAGGGGACCUUCGGGCCUUGCGCUAUUGGAUACGCCUAGGUGGGAUUAGCUAGUUGGUGAGGUAAUGGCUCACCAAGGCAACGAUCCCUAGCUGGUCUGAGAGGAUGAUCAGCCACACUGGAACUGAGACACGGUCCAGACUCCUACGGGAGGCAGCAGUGGGGAAUAUUGCACAAUGGGCGAAAGCCUGAUGCAGCCAUGCCGCGUGUAUGAAGAAGGCCUUCGGGUUGUAAAGUACUUUCAGUCGUGAGGAAGGGGGUAAGCUUAAUACGCUUAUCUCUUGACGUUAGCGACAGAAGAAGCACCGGCUAACUCCGUGCCAGCAGCCGCGGUAAUACGGAGGGUGCGAGCGUUAAUCGGAAUUACUGGGCGUAAAGCGCAUGCAGGUGGUUCAAUAAGUCAGAUGUGAAAGCCCGGGGCUCAACCUCGGAACUGCAUUUGAAACUGUUGGACUAGAGUACUGUAG